RNAcentral lists this transfer RNA (26 nucleotides) under Loriculus galgulus. Its description in RNAcentral is "partial tRNA-Trp". Lineage: Eukaryota; Metazoa; Chordata; Aves; Psittaciformes; Psittacidae. The record is from RNAcentral. RNAcentral also lists the same sequence under 20 other names.
AAACUUAGGAUAAUAUCAAACCAAAG